Molecule: non-coding RNA, 31 nt
Filed under: Mus musculus (house mouse)
Lineage: Eukaryota; Metazoa; Chordata; Mammalia; Rodentia; Muridae
Source: RNAcentral
GUCUCUACACUCAGAGUUUACAUUGGAGAGC